This 102-nucleotide ribosomal RNA is filed under the name uncultured bacterium. Its description in RNAcentral is "partial 16S ribosomal RNA". It matches the Rfam family "Bacterial small subunit ribosomal RNA", at positions 233 to 334 of the family's 1533-position model. The record is from RNAcentral.
UAGUCCGAUUAGCUUGUUGGUGGGGUAAAGGCCUACCAAGGCGACGAUCGGUAGCUGGUCUGAGAGGACGAUCAGCCACACUGGGACUGAGACACGGCCCAG